This is a long non-coding RNA of Bufo bufo (common toad), 209 nucleotides long. RefSeq lists it as uncharacterized. The transcript has 3 exons. The record is from RefSeq and is a predicted model, not a curated record. NCBI's taxonomy places the organism in Eukaryota, Metazoa, Chordata, Amphibia, Anura, Bufonidae.
ACUCAACACAUACAUGGACGCACUUAUACACGCACUCACCACAUACAUGGACGCACUUAUACAGGCACUCACUACAUAAAUGGACGCACUCAUACAGGCACUCACCACAUACAUGGGCGCACUCAUACAGGCACUCACCACAUACAUGGACGCACUCAUACAGGCACUCACCACAUACAUGGACGCACUCAAAUACGCACUCACCACAU